AGGACGAACGCUGGCGGCGUGCCUAACACAUGCAAGUCGAGCGCCCCGCAAGGGGAGCGGCAGACGGGAGAGUAACACGUGGGAACGUACCUUUCGGUUCGGAACAACCCAGGGAAACUUGGGCUAAUACCGGAUACGUCCGUAAGGAGAAAGAUUUAUCGCCGAAAGAUCGGCCCGCGUCUGAUUAGCUAGUUGGUGAGGUAACGGCUCACCAAGGCGACGACGCGUGGCCGGACUGAGAGGUUGGCCGGCCUCAUUGGGACUGAGACACUGCCCAGACUCCUACGGGGGGCUGCAGUAACGAAUCUUCCGCAAUGCACGAAAGUGUGACGGAGCGACGCCGCGUGUAGGACGAAGUCCUUCGGGAUGUAAACUACUGUCAGGGUUACCAAGUUCUGAGGAGCCCCAGAGGAAGGCACGGCUAACUCUGUGCCAGCAGCCGC
RNAcentral lists this ribosomal RNA (443 nucleotides) under uncultured bacterium. Its description in RNAcentral is "SSU rRNA". It matches the Rfam family "Bacterial small subunit ribosomal RNA", at positions 26 to 518 of the family's 1533-position model. The record is from RNAcentral.